This 667-nucleotide ribosomal RNA is filed under the name Paenibacillus sp. AK-31. RNAcentral's name for it is "bacterial SSU rRNA". It matches the Rfam family "Bacterial small subunit ribosomal RNA", at positions 47 to 695 of the family's 1533-position model. The record is from RNAcentral. Lineage: Bacteria; Bacillati; Bacillota; Bacilli; Caryophanales; Paenibacillaceae.
UNCUAUANAUGCAGUCGAGCGGACUUGAUGGAGUGCUUGCACUCCUGAGAGUUAGCGGCGGACGGGUGAGUAACACGUAGGCAACCUGCCCUCAAGACUGGGAUAACUACCGGAAACGGUAGCUAAUACCGGAUAAUUUAUUUCNCAGCAUUGUGGAAUAAUGAAAGACGGAGCAAUCUGUCACUUGGGGAUGGGCCUGCGGCGCAUUAGCUAGUUGGUGGGGUAAUGGCUCACCAAGGCGACGAUGCGUAGCCGACCUGAGAGGGUGAACGGCCACACUGGGACUGAGACACGGCCCAGACUCCUACGGGAGGCAGCAGUAGGGAAUCUUCCGCAAUGGGCGAAAGCCUGACGGAGCAACGCCGCGUGAGUGAUGAAGGUUUUCGGAUCGUAAAGCUCUGUUGCCAAGGAAGAACGUCUUCUAGAGUAACUGCUAGGAGAGUGACGGUACUUGAGAAGAAAGCCCCGGCUAACUACGUGCCAGCAGCCGCGGUAAUACGUAGGGGGCAAGCGUUGUCCGGAAUUAUUGGGCGUAAAGCGCGCGCAGGCGGUUCUUUAAGUCUGGUGUUUAAACCCGAGGCUCAACUUCGGGUCGCACUGGAAACUGGGGGACUUGAGUGCAGAAGAGGAGAGUGGAAUUCCACGUGUAGCGGUGAAAUGCGUAGAA